GGGGGGAGGCCAGAUCCUGGGCCGUGUUCCCAGCGCCCUGUGCUCCCGGGCCUGCACCGCUGGAAUCCUGCUCCCAGCCGCACAGCCCCCU
RNAcentral lists this microRNA precursor (91 nucleotides) under Canis lupus familiaris (dog). RNAcentral's name for it is "mir-8799 microRNA precursor family". It matches the Rfam family "mir-8799 microRNA precursor family". Lineage: Eukaryota; Metazoa; Chordata; Mammalia; Carnivora; Canidae. The record is from Rfam by way of RNAcentral. RNAcentral also lists the same sequence under 1 other name.